GAUGAACGCUGGCGGCGUGCCUAAUACAUGCAAGUCGAGCGAACAGACGAGGAGCUUGCUCCUCUGACGUUAGCGGCGGACGGGUGAGUAACACGUGGAUAACCUACCUAUAAGACUGGGAUAACUUCGGGAAACCGGAGCUAAUACCGGAUAAUAUAUUGAACCGCAUGGUUCAAUAGUGAAAGACGGUUUUGCUGUCACUUAUAGAUGGAUCCGCGCCGCAUUAGCUAGUUGGUAAGGUAACGGCUUACCAAGGCGACGAUGCGUAGCCGACCUGAGAGGACGAUCAGCCACACUGGGAAUGAGACACGGCCCAGACUCCUACGGGAGGCAGCAGUGGGGAAUAUUGGACAAUGGGCGAAAGGCUGAUAAAGCAAUGCCGCGUGAGUGAUGAAGGCCUGAGGGUAGUAAAGCUCUUUUACCAGGGAUGAUAAUGACAGGAGCGGGAAAAUAAGAUCCGGCUAACGCCGGG
RNAcentral lists this ribosomal RNA (472 nucleotides) under uncultured bacterium. RNAcentral's name for it is "partial 16S ribosomal RNA". It matches the Rfam family "Bacterial small subunit ribosomal RNA", at positions 28 to 507 of the family's 1533-position model. The record is from RNAcentral.